This 744-nucleotide ribosomal RNA is filed under the name uncultured bacterium. RNAcentral's name for it is "bacterial SSU rRNA". It matches the Rfam family "Bacterial small subunit ribosomal RNA", at positions 8 to 798 of the family's 1533-position model. The record is from RNAcentral.
AGAGUUUGAUCCUGGCUCAGAGCGAACGCUGGCGGCAGGCCUAACACAUGCAAGUCGAACGAACUCUUCGGAGUUAGUGGCGGACGGGUGAGUAACACGUGGGAACGUGCCUUUAGGUUCGGAAUAGCUCCUGGAAACGGGUGGUAAUGCCGAAUGUGCCCUUCGGGGGAAAGAUUUAUCGCCUUUAGAGCGGCCCGCGUCUGAUUAGCUAGUUGGUGAGGUAAUGGCCCACCAAGGCUACGAUCAGUAGCUGGUCUGAGAGGAUGACCAGCCACAUUGGGACUGAGACACGGCCCAAACUCCUACGGGAGGCAGCAGUGGGGAAUCUUGCGCAAUGGGCGAAAGCCUGACGCAGCCAUGCCGCGUGUAUGAUGAAGGUCUUAGGAUUGUAAAAUACUUUCACCGGUGAAGAUAAUGACUGUAGCCGGAGAAGAAGCCCCGGCUAACUUCGUGCCAGCAGCCGCGGUAAUACGAAGGGGGCUAGCGUUGCUCGGAAUUACUGGGCGUAAAGGGCGCGUAGGCGGACAUUUAAGUCAGAGGUGAAAGCCCAGGGCUCAACCUUGGAAUUGCCUUUGAUACUGGAUGUCUUGAGUUCGGGAGAGGUGAGUGGAAUGCCGAGUGUAGAGGUGAAAUUCGUAGAUAUUCGGCGGAACACCAGUGGCGAAGGCGACUCACUGGCCCGAUACUGACGCUGAGGCGCGAAAGCGUGGGGAGCAAACAGGAUUAGAUACCCUGGUAGUCCAA